AGUGAACGCUGGCGGUAGGCCUAACACAUGCAAGUCGAACGGCAGCACAGUGAGAGCUUGCUCUUACGGGUGGCGAGUGGCGGACGGGUGAGGAAUACAUCGGAAUCUACUUUUUCGUGGGGGAUAACGUAGGGAAACUUACGCUAAUACCGCAUACGACCUACGGGUGAAAGCAGUGGAUCUUCGGACCUUGCGCGAUUGAAUGAGCCGAUGUCGGAUUAGCUAGUUGGCGGGGUAAAGGCCCACCAAGGCGACGAUCCGUAGCUGGUCUGAGAGGAUGAUCAGCGACACUGGAACUGAGACACGGUCCAGACUCCUACAGGAGGCAGCAGUGGGGAAUAUUGGACAAUGGGCGCAAGCCUGAUCCAGCCAUACCGCGUGGGUGAAGAAGGCCUUCGGGUUGUAAAGCCCUUUUGUUGGGAAAGAAAGGCAGCAGGUUAAUACCCCGCUGUUCUGACGGUACCCAAAGAAUAAGCACCGGCUAACUUCGUG
This 492-nucleotide ribosomal RNA is filed under the name uncultured bacterium. Its description in RNAcentral is "partial 16S ribosomal RNA". It matches the Rfam family "Bacterial small subunit ribosomal RNA", at positions 29 to 507 of the family's 1533-position model. The record is from RNAcentral.